Molecule: ribosomal RNA, 597 nt
Filed under: fungal endophyte
Lineage: Eukaryota; Fungi
Description: eukaryotic LSU rRNA
Rfam family: 5.8S ribosomal RNA (bases 191-344)
Source: RNAcentral
CGGAGGGAUCAUUAAAGAGUUCUAUAACUCCCAAACCCAUGUGAACAUACCUAACGUUGCCUCGGCAGGUCGCACCUACCUUGUAGCACCCUACCCUGUAGGGCCUACCCGGGAGGUGCGGGUAAGCCUGCCGGCGGCCCACCAAACUCUGUUUGAUAUUGAAUUCUGAACCUAUAACUAAAUAAGUUAAAACUUUCAACAACGGAUCUCUUGGUUCUGGCAUCGAUGAAGAACGCAGCGAAAUGCGAUAAGUAAUGUGAAUUGCAGAAUUCAGUGAAUCAUCGAAUCUUUGAACGCAUAUUGCGCCCAUUAGUAUUCUAGUGGGCAGGACCGUUCGAGCGUCAUUUCAACCCUUAAGCCUUCGUUGCUUAGUGUUGGGAGCCUACGGCAACGUAGCUCCUCAAAGUUAGUGGCGGAGUUGGUUCACACUCUAGACGUAGUAAUUUUUUUUUAUCUCGCCUAUUAGUUGGACUAAUCCCCUGCCGUAAAACCCCCAAUUUAUCAAGGUUGACCUCGAAUCGGUUCAGACAAACUCGCUAAAUUGAAGCAUCUUAGUCAGCGAAGGAAAAGAAACCAACAGGGAUUGCCCUAGUAACG